This 73-nucleotide transfer RNA is filed under the name Stegodyphus mimosarum. It matches the Rfam family "tRNA". From Rfam's summary of the family: Transfer RNA (tRNA) molecules are approximately 80 nucleotides in length. Lineage: Eukaryota; Metazoa; Arthropoda; Arachnida; Araneae; Eresidae. The record is from Rfam by way of RNAcentral.
GCCUUUGUGGUGUAGUGGUCCGCACACUCGACUCAUAUUCGAGAGGUCCGUGGUUCGAAUCCCGCAGAGGGCA